This is a long non-coding RNA of Homo sapiens (human), 700 nucleotides long. RefSeq lists it as uncharacterized. NCBI's taxonomy places the organism in Eukaryota, Metazoa, Chordata, Mammalia, Primates, Hominidae. The transcript has 3 exons. The record is from RefSeq and is a predicted model, not a curated record.
AGGAGCCCUAGGCAAUAUGUAUUAAGUAGACUUUCAUGAACUCAACGAGAUACUGCAAGAGAUAAAAUAAUGAGAUGCUACGUCAUAGGAUCUGUCUCUGAGUCCACAUUGUGGGAGAAAAGACCAUUCUUCGGAAAGAUGCAGAGGAAGCCCCGUACCUCAAGGGAUUGAGAUGGGAGACUGAGGGAAUCCUGGGGUCUCUGCCCUCUCCCUCACUGGGAAACAAGCUCUGUUUCUUCAUGUGCUGGAGCCCUGCCUCUGUGGGUGCAGCCUGAGGACAAAGGCAGUGCUGCAUCCCCUGAUCCCCUGCCCCCUACAACCUCCUGCCCAGCCUCUUGGGUGCUCCUCAGCUUGUCGUCAGGGAGGAAGCAGCCAUCUCCUCCGAUGACUGACUUCAAGCCUCAACUCUCCCACAGCUUCUCAAAAGCCAAGGCUGAGGCCAAGUCCUAGCUGCUGCCUUGGGACAGGUCAAGGGCCUCCUGCAAUCUCAUGCACAAACUGGUACCCAUGAGCAUGUGGCCUAAGAGAUUUAUUGACCCCUCUCCAAGUCCUUGCCAGAGGAAUCCUGCACACCUAUAUCCACAAUGAAGGGAGCCAUAUCCCCAGCUGGGUAGCCAUAUCCCUAAUGAUAUCACUUAUGAAAGGUGACAAGUCCUUUCUACCACUCUUAUUUAAGUGAAAAUAUAUUUAGUCAAUUAUG